UGCUUAACACAUGCAAGUCGAGCGAGAAAGGGGAGCAAUCCCUGAGUAAAGCGGCGGACGGGUGAGUAACACGUGGGUAAUCUACCCGGAUGUGGGGGAUACCUCGCCGAAAGGCGAGCUAAUACCGCAGACAGAUCCCCGGGACUUCGGUCCUGGUGAUCAAAGCGGGGGUCGCAAGACCUCGCGCUUCCGGAGGAGCCCGCGCCCGAUUAGCUAGUUGGCGAGGUAAUGGCUCACCAAGGCGACGAUCGGUAGCCGGCCUGAGAGGGUGAUCGGCCACACUGGAACUGAGACACGGUCCAGACUCCUACGGGAGGCAGCAGUGGGGAAUCUUGCGCAAUGGGCGAAAGCCUGACGCAGCAACGCCGCGUGGAGGAUGAAGGUCCUUGGAUUGUAAACUCC
This 402-nucleotide ribosomal RNA is filed under the name uncultured organism. RNAcentral describes it as "bacterial SSU rRNA". It matches the Rfam family "Bacterial small subunit ribosomal RNA", at positions 45 to 433 of the family's 1533-position model. The record is from RNAcentral.